This 274-nucleotide ribosomal RNA is filed under the name uncultured bacterium. RNAcentral describes it as "partial 16S ribosomal RNA". It matches the Rfam family "Bacterial small subunit ribosomal RNA", at positions 523 to 796 of the family's 1533-position model. The record is from RNAcentral.
AUACGGAGGGCGCGAACGUUGCUCGGAAUCAUUGGGCGUAAAGCGCACGUAGGCGGCCUGAUAAGUCGGAUGUGAAAGCCCUCGGCUCAACCGAGGAAGUGCAUUCGAAACUGUCAGGCUUGAGUAUGGGAGAGGGUUGCGGAAUUCCCGGUGUAGAGGUGAAAUUCGUAGAUAUCGGGAGGAACACCAGUGGCGAAGGCGGCAGCCUGGACCAAUACUGACGCUGGGGUGCGAAAGCGUGGGGAGCAAACAGGAUUAGAAACCCCUGUAGUCC